Molecule: long non-coding RNA, 368 nt
Filed under: Pan troglodytes (chimpanzee)
Lineage: Eukaryota; Metazoa; Chordata; Mammalia; Primates; Hominidae
Description: long non-coding RNA NONPTRT014243
Source: RNAcentral
CCUGCCUCAGCUUCCCAAAGUGCUGGGGUUACAGGCAUGAGCCACUGUGCCCAGCCAAGAAUGUUUACAAAUUUUUUAGGUGAGGUUAACCUUUUAAACCACUCUUUUCAGAUCUUCUGUCUACAUGGUGGUCUCUCGCCAUCUAUAGAUACACUGGAUCAUAUCAGAGCACUUGAUCGCCUACAAGAAGUUCCCCAUGAGGGUCCAAUGUGUGACUUGCUGUGGUCAGAUCCAGAUGACCGUGGUGGUUGGGGUAUAUCUCCUCGAGGAGCUGGUUACACCUUUGGGCAAGAUAUUUCUGAGACAUUUAAUCAUGCCAAUGGCCUCACGUUGGUGUCUAGAGCUCACCAGCUAGUGAUGGAGGUAUG